This 904-nucleotide ribosomal RNA is filed under the name uncultured bacterium. RNAcentral describes it as "bacterial SSU rRNA". It matches the Rfam family "Bacterial small subunit ribosomal RNA", at positions 8 to 916 of the family's 1533-position model. The record is from RNAcentral.
AGAGUUUGAUCCUGGCUCAGGAUGAACGCUAGCGGCAGGCCUAACACAUGCAAGUCGAGGGGUAGAAGUCUUCGGACUUUGAGACCGGCGCACGGGUGCGUAACGCGUAUGCAAUCUGCCUUACACUAAGGGAUAGCCCAGAGAAAUUUGGAUUAAUACCUUAUAGUAUAUUGAUGUGGCAUCACAUUAUUAUUAAAGAUUUAUCGGUGUAAGAUGAGCAUGCGUCCCAUUAGCUAGUUGGUAUGGUAACGGCAUACCAAGGCAAUGAUGGGUAGGGGUCCUGAGAGGGAGAUCCCCCACACUGGUACUGAGACACGGACCAGACCCCUACGGGAGGCAGCAGUGAGGAAUAUUGGUCAAUGGUCGCAAGACUGAACCAGCCAUGCCGCGUGCAGGAUGAAGCAUCUAUGGUGUGUAAACCGCUUUUGUACGGGAAGAAACACCCCUUCGUGAAGGGGCUUGACGGUACCGUAAGAAUAAGGAUCGGCUAACUCCGUGCCAGCAGCCGCGGUAAUACGGAGGAUCCGAGCGUUAUCCGGAAUCAUUGGGUUUAAAGGGUCCGUAGGCGGUUUUGUAAGUCAGUGGUGAAAUCCGGCAGCUCAACUGUCGAACUGCCAUUGAUACUGCAGGACUUGAAUUACUGUGAAGUAACUAGAAUAUGUAGUGUAGCGGUGAAAUGCUUAGAUAUUACAUGGAAUACCAAUUGCGAAGGCAGGUUACUAACAUUAUAUUGACGCUGAUGGACGAAAGCGUGGGGAGCGAACAGGAUUAGAUACCCUGGUAGUCCACGCCGUAAACGAUGGAUACUAGCUGUUUGGUUGUAAGACUGAGUGGCUAAGCGAAAGUGAUAAGUAUCCCACCUGGGGAGUACGGGCGCAAGCCUGAAACUCAAAGGAAUUGACGG